This is a small nucleolar RNA of Accipiter nisus (Eurasian sparrowhawk), 111 nucleotides long. NCBI's taxonomy places the organism in Eukaryota, Metazoa, Chordata, Aves, Accipitriformes, Accipitridae. The record is from Ensembl.
UGCGAGGGUGAUGAGUUGCACUGUGGUGGAGCAAUCAUGUCAGGUGACAUGGACUCUGCUCAGAAUCUCCCUGAUGACAAAACUAAGUGCACAGGGGCCAUCUGACUCGCU